AUUGAACGCUGGCGGAAUGCUUUACACAUGCAAGUCGAACGGCAGCACGGGGGCAACCCUGGUGGCGAGUGGCGAACGGGUGAGUAAUACAUCGGAACGUGCCCAAUCGUGGGGGAUAACGUAGCGAAAGCUACGCUAAUACCGCAUACGAUCUACGGAUGAAAGCGGGGGAUCGCAAGACCUCGCGCGAAUGGAGCGGCCGAUGGCAGAUUAGGUAGUUGGUGGGGUAAAGGCUCACCCAAGCCGACGAUCUGUAGCUGGUCUGAGAGGACGACCAGCCACACUGGGACUGAGACACGGCCCAGACUCCUACGGGAGGCAGCAGUGGGGAAUUUUGGACAAUGGGCGCAAGCCUGAUCCAGCCAUUCCGCGUGCAGGAUGAAGGCC
Molecule: ribosomal RNA, 387 nt
Filed under: uncultured bacterium
Lineage: Bacteria
Description: bacterial SSU rRNA
Rfam family: Bacterial small subunit ribosomal RNA
Source: RNAcentral